RNAcentral lists this long non-coding RNA (729 nucleotides) under Pandoravirus dulcis. RNAcentral describes it as "putative ncRNA". The record is from RNAcentral.
AGGGAGGCUGCGCGCUGUCGCCUUGCGGUUCGUCGGGGACAAACGCCAUGCGCGCGUGCGGUUCCUGGCGGCGGCGGCGGUGGCUGUCGAUUUUCUUGUCGACCCUCGUGCCGACACGCUUGGCGCUCCAAAUCGACAAGACAUCAAGCAGGUCGAAGCGGACGUCGAGGCGGCCCGAGGCGCGUGCGAUGGCCUCUGACAUGCCCGAAAAGUAAUGCGCGCGCACAUCUUGCUCGAAUCGGUAUCCCACGAUGAGCGUGACUGAACCGCGCUCGCUGACAUCGGGCGGCCGGUCCAGGCCGUCGAAUCCCUCCCAGCGGUGAACGCACAGGCCGGCGACGCGCCUGUACGCCAAUCGCAACAGGCCCAAGGCGCGACGGGCGGCCAUGCGGAAUUCGGGCGACCCGCGCAGCGCGCCCGUGACACGCUUUGCGAGCCAGCGUGCGGCGGCAACGCGCGCGGCCACCGACACACCGUCUCGGGGCAUACAGUCCUCGAUGUAAAAGUCAAACACGCGCUCCAGGGGAAGAGAAAAGGCGGGCGACGUCCACGCGAGAAGAUCUGUUCUGCCGUCGUUCAUAUCGUUCAUGGUCGAUGCCUGCUUGCAUAUGUGUGUGCGUAUAUAUAUAUAUAAUUUUUGCUGCGAGAGCAGCGGUCGAGGCGAUGGUGCGUAGUUGGGCACACGCCCACUCGGAAAACACAGAAAAAAAAGCGACACGGAAAAAAGAG